This 75-nucleotide transfer RNA is filed under the name Mus musculus (house mouse). Its description in RNAcentral is "tRNA-Ser". The record is from RNAcentral. Lineage: Eukaryota; Metazoa; Chordata; Mammalia; Rodentia; Muridae.
GGUUGGUGAGAUGGCUCAGUGGUUAAGAGCACUGACUGCUCUUCUGGAGGUCAUGAGUUCAAGUCCCAGCAACCA